AUGUCACAUCGUCUCCUCGCCUUCUGCGAAGAGCGCGAAGCCGACGAGGGCGUGCUCGUGCUGGAGUUCGCGCCCAACGGCAACCUGCACGACUACCUCCACGACGAUGACAUGCGCGCGGCGGGCGGUCGUUGCGAGCCCCGGGUGGUGCACAGAAACAUGAAGGCCUCCAAUGUGCUGCUCGACGUGGCCAUGGACGCCAGGCUCUACAAAUUCGACUCUGCGCGCGUAGGGAUCUCGCUGGCCGUGCGCCUGCCGCAGCUGCUCACCGGCACACAUCCGUUCGGCAAUGGCCGGCUCCUUACAUCCACCGUCACCCCAAUGAUCAGGGGCGGGUCCCCAUCCCGCGCCGUUGCCUUCCUUGACGCGCGCAUGCUCCUCGAUAACGUCGAGGUCGACAAGGCCAGCGCUGCUCCUCGACGGCGCGCCGAGCAAGGUCAUGCGCGAUGGCACCGUGACGAAGGCCCAUCAAGUGUCUCCGCCGUGACACAGACUAACAGAGGUCAGCUGUCCUUGCCGCGGUUCUUUCCCUACCCAAAGUUGCCGGAGGCGCCACCGUCCAAGGUGCUGAAGCGCGUCGUCGUCGCCGCGCUCUAG
This 597-nucleotide ribosomal RNA is filed under the name Triticum aestivum (bread wheat). RNAcentral describes it as "partial small subunit ribosomal RNA". Lineage: Eukaryota; Viridiplantae; Streptophyta; Magnoliopsida; Poales; Poaceae. The record is from RNAcentral.